This 717-nucleotide long non-coding RNA is filed under the name Nicotiana tabacum (common tobacco). Its description in RNAcentral is "long non-coding RNA (NTAB_LNC014334)". Lineage: Eukaryota; Viridiplantae; Streptophyta; Magnoliopsida; Solanales; Solanaceae. The record is from RNAcentral.
UGCUACUCUAGCAACCAGCAUUGCAGAAACCGUAGAAAAUGGAUCGCCUAUUCACAACCAAAAAAACUUCUUAAAGUGUCAGAAAGUAAAAUAUAUUACUCCAUAAAAAGGGAAAUGGGACGCGGAAGAACUGAGAACAUCAAAAUCUGUCAUUCUUUUGAACAGUGGCAGACCAAUGCAAAUGAUGAUAACUGAAAAAAAUAAGGAAACAAAGCGAUUCAUGGGACUGUAUAAGCAUAUCUUAGGCUCAGGAGCAUAAUACAACUGAAAAAGUCUACUUUUGGGUUGUACUUUUGUAUCCUAAGUUUCGUUUGAAUCUUAGGAUGCUUGAUCUACUAAAUUAAUUACUUGGUCCAAAAAGGAAGUAGAAAUGGCGGAAGAGAUAAAUUUUAUGCCAAAAAGGAAAAGGACAAUGGUCGAGUGAAGAUAUUCAACUAUAUCUCAAGCAAAAAAAUGAAUCUUGAUGGCUAUAUUUCCUAACAUAACAUGAUAGCUUAAACUAAACUUGCAACUGAGGAUUUCAAAGUCAGAAAGUAUACCUGCUUGCUGUCUUUCGGAAUAACUUUCCUUCUUUCCAGGCAAGCUUAUUUAUUGUACUUUUGCUUCACGGGCAUGUUUGUGACAUUACAACUACAUCCAGAGCCAAUGGUAUAGCACAUAGCUAAUGGACAUGUAGUUUCACUAAUAUUGUUGUUCCACACACCAUAUAAAGAUCCU